Molecule: long non-coding RNA, 327 nt
Organism: Heterocephalus glaber (naked mole-rat)
Lineage: Eukaryota; Metazoa; Chordata; Mammalia; Rodentia; Bathyergidae
Source: RefSeq, a predicted model, not a curated record
CCUCGGCCGGCCUCGGCCGCGCAAGCGCACCGCUGAGGGCCGGAACUGGCAGAGGUUGGGCCUCCGGCUGCGGACGGAUCUGGCACCCUGCUACUUCUGGCUCUUCCCCAAAGUCAAAAUGACCAUGAAAGGACAACGUUUUGAACCGACUCAGGACAUCAAAGCAGUUAUGACAGCACAACCAGAGACCCUCAAGAAUGAGGACUUCCAGAGCUGCUUCAGGAAGUGGCAAGGAUGAGAUGAGUAUAUUUGAAGCAAGGAGUGUAUUUUGAGGAGGUUCAUGGUAGUUUGUCUUGAAAUAAUUUUUUUAAAUGUAAGCAUUCACCA